RNAcentral lists this ribosomal RNA (406 nucleotides) under bacterium enrichment culture clone ALO1_GLFRUDD03HCD0U. RNAcentral's name for it is "bacterial SSU rRNA". It matches the Rfam family "Bacterial small subunit ribosomal RNA", at positions 9 to 416 of the family's 1533-position model. The record is from RNAcentral.
GAGUUUGAUCGUGGCUCAGAUUGAACGCUGGCGGCAUGCCUUACACAUGCAAGUCGAACGGCAGCACGGGAGCUUGCUCCUGGUGGCGAGUGGCGAACGGGUGAGUAAUGCAUCGGAACGUAUCCUGGAGUGGGGAUAACGUAGCGAAAGUUACGCUAAUACCGCAUAUUCUGUGAGCAGGAAAGCGGGGGACCUUCGGGCCUCGCGCUCUUGGAGCGGCCGAUGUCGGAUUAGCUAGUUGGUGAGGUAAAGGCUCACCAAGGCGACGAUCCGUAGCAGGUCUGAGAGGAUGAUCUGCCACACUGGAACAGAGACACGGUCCAGACUCCUACGGGAGGCAGCAGUGGGGAAUUUUGGACAAUGGGGGCAACCCUGAUCCAGCCAUGCCGCGUGAGUGAAGAAGGCC